This 1176-nucleotide ribosomal RNA is filed under the name uncultured bacterium. RNAcentral describes it as "bacterial SSU rRNA". It matches the Rfam family "Bacterial small subunit ribosomal RNA", at positions 37 to 1178 of the family's 1533-position model. The record is from RNAcentral.
UGGCGGCGUGCCUAAUACAUGCAAGUCGAACGCACUGACGUCGACAGAAGGUGCUUGCACUGGAAGUUGAUUGACGUGAGUGGCGGACGGGUGAGUAACACGUGGGUAACCUGCCCUUAAGCGGGGGAUAACAUUUGGAAACAGAUGCUAAUACCGCAUAAAAGUUGAGAUCACAUGGUCUUAAUUUGAAAGACGGCCUUUGGCUGUCACUUAAGGAUGGACCCGCGGCGUAUUAGCUAGUUGGUGAGAUAAUAGCCCACCAAGGCGAUGAUACGUAGCCGACCUGAGAGGGUAAUCGGCCACAUUGGGACUGAGACACGGCCCAAACUCCUACGGGAGGCAGCAGUAGGGAAUCUUCCACAAUGGACGAAAGUCUGAUGGAGCAACGCCGCGUGAGUGAAGAAGGUUUUCGGAUCGUAAAACUCUGUUGUUGGAGAAGAACAGGGACUAGAGUAACUGUUAGUCCUUUGACGGUAUCCAACCAGAAAGCCACGGCUAACUACGUGCCAGCAGCCGCGGUAAUACGUAGGUGGCAAGCGUUGUCCGGAUUUAUUGGGCGUAAAGCGAGCGCAGGCGGUUUCUUAAGUCUGAUGUGAAAGCCUUCGGCUUAACCGAAGAAGUGCAUCAGAUACUGGGAAACUUGAGUGCAGAAGAGGAAAGUGGAACUCCAUGUGUAGCGGUGAAAUGCGUAGAUAUAUGGAAGAACACCAGUGGCGAAGGCGGCUUUCUGGUCUGUAACUGACGCUGAGGCUCGAAAGUAUGGGGAGCGAACAGGAUUAGAUACCCUGGUAGUCCAUACCGUAAACGAUGAAUGCUAAGUGUUGGAGGGUUUCCGCCCUUCAGUGCUGCAGCUAACGCAUUAAGCAUUCCGCCUGGGGAGUACGACCGCAAGGUUGAAACUCAAAGGAAUUGACGGGGGCCCGCACAAGCGGUGGAGCAUGUGGUUUAAUUCGAAGCUACGCGAAGAACCUUACCAGGUCUUGACAUCUAGCGCCAAUCCUAGAGAUAGGACGUUCCCUUCGGGGACGCUAAGACAGGUGGUGCAUGGUUGUCGUCAGCUCGUGUCGUGAGAUGUUGGGUUAAGUCCCGCAACGAGCGCAACCCUUAUGAUUAGUUGCCAGCAUUUAGUUGGGCACUCUAAUCAGACUGCCGGUGACAAACCGGAGGAAGGUGGGG